Molecule: long non-coding RNA, 297 nt
Filed under: Ananas comosus (pineapple)
Lineage: Eukaryota; Viridiplantae; Streptophyta; Magnoliopsida; Poales; Bromeliaceae
Description: long non-coding RNA (ACOM_LNC027377)
Source: RNAcentral
UCACAUUUCUAGCUAAAUUUAAUUUUAAAUAAAAUAAAUAAAGCGGAUAGUAUACUAUCUAUUUUUCAAAAAAAAAAAAGAAUUGAACUGAAUCGCUUCAUAGACUAGGUCAUGAUUGCAACGGUCGAAUCAACAGAUUUGAUUCGGUUUUUAAAUUAUUAAAUUUACUAAAAAUAGAGAGGAAUAAAAUAAUUUUCGAUUGUAAAUAUUUACUUUAUGUAUCAUAAUAAUUUAACCUAUAGCCAUAACUCAAACUUUCAAAAAUGCUACGUAGUUAAUUAUGAAAAAAAAAAAAAA